RNAcentral lists this long non-coding RNA (229 nucleotides) under Elaeis guineensis (African oil palm). RNAcentral describes it as "long non-coding RNA (EGUI_LNC012865)". Lineage: Eukaryota; Viridiplantae; Streptophyta; Magnoliopsida; Arecales; Arecaceae. The record is from RNAcentral.
UUUCGUGAUCCUGAAGCUUUUUAUACUGCUGUUUCUAUUUUAGGCUAAUAGAAAUGAAAUUCAAGACCCAAAAGUUCGAAAGUUGAUCUAUGGUCCUUCUAAAGAAGUGCGAUGUUACAAUGGUUAUAUACUGAAUGGUUAUCGAUUUCACACUAGUGCUUAUGGGCAGAAUAAGAGGACAAAUAAUAGUGCUGUUUGUGUUCGGGGGAACAGUUAUAAUGAAAAUGAA